GAGGGGAUAACGAAGUGGUCAAACGUGAUGGGUUUAGGACCCAUUGGCUUAGUGCCUUCCGGGGUUCGAAUCCUCGUCCCCUCA
Molecule: transfer RNA, 84 nt
Filed under: Candidatus Woesearchaeota archaeon
Lineage: Archaea; Nanobdellati; Candidatus Woesearchaeota
Description: tRNA-Leu
Rfam family: tRNA
About the family: Transfer RNA (tRNA) molecules are approximately 80 nucleotides in length.
Source: RNAcentral